AGGAUUAGAUACCCUGGUAGUCCUAGCCCUAAACGGUGCACGUUUGCUGUGAGAGGAAUCGACCCCUUUCGUGGCGAAGCUAACGCGAUAAACGUGCCGCCUGGGGAGUACGGUCGCAAGAUUAAAACUCAAAGAAAUUGACGGGGGCCUGCACAAGCGGUGGAGUAUGUGGCUUAAUUCGAUGCAACGCGAAGAACCUUACCUGGCCUUGACAUGCAUUUGGUAGAACCAUGAAAGUGGGACGACCCCGCAAGGGGAGGAUGCACAGGUGCUGCAUGGCUGUCGUCAGCUCGUGUCGUGAGAUGUUGGGUUAAGUCCCGCAACGAGCGCAACCCUUAUGUCCUGUUGCCACUCAAACGAGAGUUUGGAGCACUCUGGACAGACUGCCUCGCUUAAACGGGGAGGAAGGUGGGGAUGACGUCAAGUCAGUAUGGCCCUUACGGCCAGGGCUGCACACGUACUACAAUGCCCGGUACAGAGGGAAGCAAGACCGUCAGGUGGAGCAAAUCCCAAAAAACCGGGCCCAGUUCAGAUUGCCGUCUGCAACUCGACGGCAUGAAGUUGGAAUCGCUAGUAAUGGCGCAUCAGCUACGGCGCCGUGAAUACGUUCCCAUGCCUUGUACACACCGCCCGUCACAUCAUGAAAGCCGGUUGUACCCGAAGUCGCCACGUGAACCGCAAGGACACAGGUGCCGAAGGUAUGGCUGGUGAUUGGGAUGAAGUCGUAACAAG
RNAcentral lists this ribosomal RNA (732 nucleotides) under uncultured bacterium. RNAcentral's name for it is "bacterial SSU rRNA". It matches the Rfam family "Bacterial small subunit ribosomal RNA", at positions 774 to 1495 of the family's 1533-position model. The record is from RNAcentral.